GGGCCGGUAGCUCAGCAUGGUAGAGCAGCGGCCUUUUAAGCCGUUGGUCGCAGGUUCGAAUCCUGCUCGGCCCA
RNAcentral lists this transfer RNA (74 nucleotides) under Thermoplasmata archaeon. RNAcentral's name for it is "tRNA-Lys". It matches the Rfam family "tRNA". From Rfam's summary of the family: Transfer RNA (tRNA) molecules are approximately 80 nucleotides in length. The record is from RNAcentral. RNAcentral also lists the same sequence under 2 other names. Lineage: Archaea; Methanobacteriati; Thermoplasmatota; Thermoplasmata.